ACGCCUAAUACAUGCAAGUCGAACGAAGUAGCAAUACUUAGUGGCAGACGGGUGAGUAACAUGUGGGUAUCUUCCCUUUGGUGAGGAAUAACACGAGGAAACUUGUGCUAAUACUUCAUAAGUCUUUACGGAGAAAGCUUUAUGCGCCAAUGGAUGAGCCUGCACUUGAUUAGUUAGUUGGUAGGGUAAUGGCCUACCAAGACAUUGAUCAAUAGCUGAUUUGAGAGGAUGAUCAGCCACAUUGGGACUGAGACACGGCCCAAACUCCUACGGGAGGCAGCAGUAGGGAAUCUUGCACAAUGGGGGAAACCCUGAUGCAGCGAUGCCGCGUGAGUGAAGAAGGCCCUUGGGUUGUAAAGCUCUUUCGUCGGGGAAGAAAAUGACUGUACCCGAAUAAGAAGGUCCGGCUAACUUCGUGCCAGCAGCCGCGGUAAUACGAAGGGACCUAGCGUAGUUCGGAAUUACUGGGCUUAAAGAGUUCGUAGGUGGUUAAAAAAGUUGGUGGUGAAAUCCCAGAGCUUAACUCUGGAACUGCCAUCAAAACUUUUUAGCUAGAGUAUGAUAGAGGAAAGCAGAAUUUCUAGUGUAGAGGUGAAAUUCGUAGAUAUUAGAAAGAAUACCAAUUGCGAAGGCAGCUUUCUGGAUCAUUACUGACACUGAGGAACGAAAGCAUGGGUAGCGAAGAGGAUUAGAUACCCUCGUAGUCCAUGCCGUAAACGAUGUGUGUUAGACGUUGGAAAUUUUUUUCAGUGUCUCAGCGAAAGCAAUAAACACACCGCCUGGGGAGUACGACCGCA
RNAcentral lists this ribosomal RNA (797 nucleotides) under uncultured Pelagibacteraceae bacterium. Its description in RNAcentral is "bacterial SSU rRNA". It matches the Rfam family "Bacterial small subunit ribosomal RNA", at positions 44 to 890 of the family's 1533-position model. Lineage: Bacteria; Pseudomonadati; Pseudomonadota; Alphaproteobacteria; Candidatus Pelagibacterales; Candidatus Pelagibacteraceae. The record is from RNAcentral.